UCCAUACAUACAUACAUAAAUCACCCACAUAGAAAUAGAAACAAGGAACAUCGAUUAUUUUCAAAGAACAUUACUUUUGCAGAAUACUGAGAUCAAAAUCCAUGAGCACUAGGAUCCUUUAACAAUUGUUACUGGACAGGUUGCAUUUACCAUCACAUGGUUGCUCACACUUCCAAUCAGUACCCUAAUUUCAAUCAAAAUCACAACCUCAGAAGCAAAAAAGGAAAAUGAUGACAAGAGCAAGAAACAGUUGAUAAAUUUACGUUACAAUCCAACCCGUCGGACCAUGGACGGAAAUUGGAAUUGUUUUCUUUAGAUGUUCGUUAAUUUUUCAAGGUUUUGUCAUUGGCAAGAGUGUAUAAGUAAAUUCCAACUCAGAACUUUACUUAUAAAAGAGUGCACUCUGCAAUAAGUAAAUCAAAGACUAUAUCUAUCUAAAUGAAGGACUAGACCCAAAGUAGUUUCACCCUUGAAAACAUAUUUCAAUUUCCCAGGAAGAAGAUAAAGAUUGAAUUACCUUUGAAUGGUGCCAAGGCCUCUGCUGCCCAUUACCAAACAAUCAAGCUUCAAAUCUGCAACAGAUUCACAUAUUUUAUCCCUGGCCUCACCCCAGUAAAUCUUUGUGACAAUAUUCACCUCUUUCUGCCUUGAAGCCGUAUCAACCAAGUCUAAAACCUCAGGAUCAGGUUCCACCUCAUAAUGUUUCAUCACUUCCUUCUCUCUGAACUCCGAUAAUGGAAUCAAAGCUACAAAUAAAAGAUCACCCAAGUCAAAUAUCGUCAAAAUACCAAUGACCCAUAGUUUUAAAACUUGAUCAAAAACGGAAGUGGAGUAUGGCAGUGACUUACGUGAGCCACUGGUGGACCAAAGAAGGUUACGAGACUCGUCGCUCUGAUUGGGUUUGACGUGGAUGAGGUAAAGGGUAUCCCCUUUGUCUACCAGAUUGUCGAUUGUCCAUUUAAGAGCUGCUUUGCUUCCCUUGGAGAAAUCCAUUGCUACACCGAUUUGCCUAUCUUUUGUCAUCUUCUUUUUCUUGAGAAAUUAAACCCAGAAAUGAACAACAAGAUUUGUUCACAGGGACUAGGUCUUCAAAUCUAAGCACACAGUUUGGAGGAACAAAGAGAAAGCUACCAGAUGCUCAGCCUCUUAUUCUUCUUUUUUGUGAAGACCAAGGCAUUUAUUGGAUAUGUAUUUAGUUGGAUUGGCUUGCCAGGUUGUUAUUGGAAUACAAAUUAAAACGAUUAAGAAUGAUAUGAAACUCUGAUUCCAUCUUAUCUCUAUCGCUAUUUAAUAGAAAAAUCAUAAAUAGUUUUUUUACAUAAAUUUAUUUAUUUAUUUUUAUAAAUAUUAUUAUUCUAGCAGUAUUUUUAUAUUAUCUUUAAAUAAAAGAGUUACGAGAUCAAAUAUGUGUUGAAUAGUAAAAUGCAUGUUUGUUAGCAUUCUAUUUAUAUUCAUUAUUUCAAAAAUUUUAAAAGAAAAUACUUUUAAUAUAAAAUAUUUUAUUUUUACCCUAUCGUAAGUGUGAUAAGAUCUAGUUUAAACAAUGAGAAUAAUUUAUAUUAUAAUAAUCCUAAAUAUCUUAAUUUUUGGGCAUAAAUGAAAUAAAACCAUGUGACCAAUUUUUAUUAUAUAUUAUUUAACUGACUUUAAUUUUAAUUAAAUUAUUUUGUAAAAUAAAUAAUCAAAUUUUGAAAGAAACACAAAUGUUAUUGUAUAUGGAUGUGUAUAAUAAAUAUUUUAUGUGUUUUAAAAUUAAUGACAUCAUUUUUUUUCAUGAUUUUCAUUGAUAUAUAAAAGUAAAGGUUUUUAAGAUCAUUUUAAAUAAUUUUUUUAACAAAAGUAAAAAAUAAAUUAGUAAUGUGAUUUAAAUCAAUGUGGUAAGGAUUAAUCUGAAAUAGAUAAGUCCCGAAUAUAUAUUUUUUUUUAUAUUUCAAAUGAUAAAAAUUUUGAUAUCUCUUUAUGAUAAUUAAUUUAUUAUUUGUUAAUUUGAAUUGAUUGUCUUUAACGAAACAAAUCAAAACUCAAUUUUUUUAAAAUUUUUUUAAGUUGCUAGACUUACAAUUGGAUUAAAUUAACGAAACAAAUAUUUUUUUUAUUAAGCAAUUGAAUUAGCUAUUUUUCAAAAUUCGGGUUAUUUUGUUUUUGGUUGUUGUUCAUUUUUUUUCAUUGAACCAAACAUAGAGACAAUGUUGUAAAGGGUCACAAAAAAAAUUGCAAAAGAAACAAAUUACACAAUAUGUAAAUUUGAGAGUACAAUUUUUUAGAUUUAAGACUAAAUUGAUACAAUAUAUAAAUGGUGAGGGUUAAAGUUGUUAUUAUGCCAUUUUUAAAAGCUACUGUGUCAACUUUUCGUUAGUCAUUUGAUGGUCGGUAACAAAAAGAAAAAAUCGAAUAGUUGAAUGACUAUUUUGUAACUUUCAAUAGUUAGGUGACUAAGAAAGAGGCUUACUUAUAGUUGGGUUAUUACCAAUGUAGUUUACCUAAAAUUUUAUGUAAAAAAUUUAUAAAAAUAGAUAUAAAAAUUGGGAAAAUUAUCGCAUACAUAGGUUGUGGAGUUUUAUUAAAACUUCACAAGCGCAUUGAGAGUGUGAUAGGUAUAUUAUGAGUGAAUAUUUAGUACAUUGACAAUGCAUUUAUUUUAUUCUACAAGCAACUUUAAAAAAUGGACUAUACCCCUAGAAGACACUUGUUACCCUCUUGGCUUAGCUAGCGUAGUCUAAAAACUCGAGGCAAUAUAUCAAAUAAACUCCCGUGUAUUAUAGAGUUAGUAAAAAAAAAUUAUAUAUAUUAUCAAAUCAUCUUAGGUAAAAGUACCCUGGAGACCAUUGUACUAGAAGUUGGAUUGUAUUUUGUCCCAUUUACUAAAAAAAUGAGCAAAUUAGUCUAUAUACGUUAAAUAAAAAAGUAGAUCAGUCCUUUCUAUUUUAAGCUUUAUCCAUUUGUACUGUUAAAAAUUUACGUAUCUAACAAAAUAACCAAGCAAUGACACGUGGUGUGCCACGUGUACCUCAUUAUGAUGUGUAGAGACCAAGUUCUAAUUGUAAAAGUUGUUGAAUUUUUAAUAGAAGGACUAGUUUAUUCUUUAAUUUAAUGUACAAUAACUAACUUGCCUAUUUUUUAAGUAGAGGGGGCAAAUUGCAAUUCGAUUCCUAGUACAAAAACCAAUAUUUUUACCAAUCAUCUUAUUGUAUGUAUGUAUAUAUGUAUUUUUUAAAGUUUAUAUAAUAAUAAUAAUAAAAAAGAUGAAGAUAAAAAUGCAUUCAAAAUAAUAUUGGAUGAGGACACCUAUAGUUAUACAAUUUUAUUUAUUUUUUUGAUAAUUUAACAAAUUAAAAAAAUAAAUUUUUGAUAAUUUAACAAAUUAAAACUCCAUUAAUGGAUAACAUUGAAAUCAAAUGCUUAAAUAUAUGAGUAAAUAGUUUCUAAAGUAAAAUAAAUAACAAUAAAAGAUUGUAGAACAUUGUUACUUUAAUCCAAACCGUGGACAAUGUCACAACAUGUGGAACCAAUCUUAAUUAAGCAGUCUCUCAGGAUCCGAGUACAAUCUGAGAAUCAAGAUGUCCACACAUACAUAAAUACAUCACUCACAUAGAAACAGAAACAAGGCACAUCAAUUAUUUCCAAAGAUGCAUAUACUAUUGCAGAAAACUAAUUGCAGACUUUUGUGAUCAAAAUCCAUGAGCACUAGGAUCCUUCACAAUUGUUACAGGACAAGUUGCAUUUACCAUCACAUAAUUGCUCACACUUCCGAUCAGUACCCUAAUUUCAAUCAAAAUCACCAUAUCAGAACUAAAAAAGAAUGAUGACAAGAAGAGGAAGGAACAAUAUGUUACAAUUCGACCUGAAAUUGUUCUUUGUAGAUGUUUCAAGGUUUUGUUAUUGACAAGAGUAUUUUAAUAAAUUCGAAUUAUAGUAACAAAGAGUCCAUUUCUGAAAUCUGUAUCAAAGACAGGGCUCAUAACAAUUUAAUCAAUACAUGUACCUCAAUGAAUGAUUAGUUUCACCCUUGAAAACAUAUUUUUCAGUUUCCCAGGAAGAUGGUAAAGAUUGAAUUACCUUUGAAUGGUGCCAAGGCCUCUGCUGCCCAUUACCAAACAGUCAAGCUUCAAGUCUUCAACGGAUUCACAUAUUUUAUCCCUGGCAUCACCCCAGUAAAUCUUAGCCACAAGAGUCCCCUGUAAUCAAAUUUUGUGAGCAAACUCAGAUUAUAAAAAAAAGAAGAAGGUAGAAAUACAAAACAGCCUGGGAAAACCUGUUUCUACCUGGAAGCAAUAUCAACCAAAUCCAAAAUCACAGGAUCAGGUUCCACCUCAUAAUGUUUCAUCACUUCCUUCUCUCUGAACUCCGAUAAUGGAAUCAAAGCUACAAAUAAAAGAUCACCCAAGUCAAAUGUCGUCAAACUUCAAAUGACCCAUAGCAUAAAAAAGGAAAAGUGGAGUAUAGGAGUGAGAUAUGUGAGCCGGUGGUAGACCAAAGAAGGUUGCGAGACUCGUCGCUUUGAUGGGGUUUGACAUGGAUGAGGUAAAGAGUAUCCCCUUGGUUU
Molecule: long non-coding RNA, 4543 nt
Filed under: Gossypium barbadense (sea-island cotton)
Lineage: Eukaryota; Viridiplantae; Streptophyta; Magnoliopsida; Malvales; Malvaceae
Description: long non-coding RNA (GBAR_LNC001975)
Rfam family: MIR7502 microRNA precursor family (bases 2921-3064)
Source: RNAcentral